UGAUAAAAGCCAAAGAAACUCCAGC
This 25-nucleotide non-coding RNA is filed under the name Mus musculus (house mouse). The record is from RNAcentral. Lineage: Eukaryota; Metazoa; Chordata; Mammalia; Rodentia; Muridae.